UUUUGAAUUAUUUUAGGUCCGAGUAAAGAUCCAAUGGGACGCUGAAUUAAACACAGGAUCCUUCAAUGUAAGAAGUCAAGGGUCUUUAAAUAACCAACAAUUGCUUCUUUUCGACACAGGGCUUAAAACAGAAACUGAAUGUAUACGAUGCAGUAUAAAUAUAAAGGGGAUUAUUUGGAAAAAUGAAAAUAAUCAAGCAUUCUGUACUAUGUGCUAUAUGAGGUUUGCAGAUGAAUUUAUUGGCAAGUUUACCUGGGAAUGUGGUAAAACGUUCUGUAAAGAAUUAUCCAGAAAAGAGGCACCUAACAAAUGGACAGACGUACUGUUGUU
Saccostrea cuccullata (small rock oyster) is the source of this 330-nucleotide long non-coding RNA. RefSeq lists it as uncharacterized. The transcript has 3 exons. The record is from RefSeq and is a predicted model, not a curated record. NCBI's taxonomy places the organism in Eukaryota, Metazoa, Mollusca, Bivalvia, Ostreida, Ostreidae.